AUGGCAUCAGAGCCGGUCGAGCUACCGGACGACGCGCUCGCGGAGGUCCUCCAGCGUCUCCCCCCGCACAUCCUGGCCGAGACCCGGCGGGUCUGCAAGGCGUGGCACGACGCCAUCGACGACCGCCUGCGCGGCAGCCUGCUUUCGCGCUCGGUGCGCGGCAUCUUCAUCAACUUUUCGGGGCAGUACUUCUCGGAGUUUUUCUCCCGCCCGUCGACGGGCCCGGCGAUUGACGGAGGGUUCGACUUCCUGCCUUGCAUGGGCGUCGAGGUCAAGGACCACUGCGACAUGGGCGUCAAGGUCAAGGACCACUGCAACGGCCUUUUGCUUUGCCGCGAGUCGAGCUACCGUGCACUGCCGUGCCCGCGCGAGUACGUCGUCAACCCGGCCACCCGGCGGUGGGCGCGUUUGCCCAAACGCCCCCCGCCGCUCAUGCCAGGAUUCGACCACACCGCCCACCUCGCGUUCGAGCCCGCUGUGUCGCCGCACUACCAGGUCUUUUUGAUCCCACGCGUGCCAUGGCGACUGCCAUCCGACGGAGAAUCCGGCGACGACGAUGACAACCCGUUGCUCGAAUUGGAGUGGCCUCCCGCGUCAUACCUCAUCGAUGUGUUCUCCUCGGUGACUCAGCGAUGGGACACAACAACCUUCCUUCGGGAAGGGGAAGCUGCCGGGAUCGUCGCCGAUAUGCAGUUGGAUUGGCGGUAUGAUCCGUCUCUCUAUCAUGCCGUAUACUGGCAAAGCGCACUCUACAUCCAUUGCCAACAUGGCUAUCUUAUGAGAAUGUCCUUGUCAGAUCACUCGUACAGAGUGAUUAAACUACCAGGUGCCGGUGGAUUGAUAGUAUAUUCCAACCACCAUCUCGGGAGAUCAUCGCAAGGGGUGUAUUGUGCAAUACUUGAUGGCUCAAUACUUGAUGGCUCGAAACGACUUCAGGUUUGGUAUCUCAGUGAAUCGUGCGGUCGAAUAGAAUGGGUGUUAAAACAUGAUACCCGUCUUAAGACCGUCUAUGCUCAAUAG
This 1020-nucleotide ribosomal RNA is filed under the name Triticum aestivum (bread wheat). RNAcentral describes it as "partial small subunit ribosomal RNA". Lineage: Eukaryota; Viridiplantae; Streptophyta; Magnoliopsida; Poales; Poaceae. The record is from RNAcentral.